This 422-nucleotide ribosomal RNA is filed under the name uncultured bacterium. Its description in RNAcentral is "bacterial SSU rRNA". It matches the Rfam family "Bacterial small subunit ribosomal RNA", at positions 355 to 774 of the family's 1533-position model. The record is from RNAcentral.
UAAGGAAUAUUGGUCAAUGGACGCAAGUCUGAACCAGCCAUGCCGCGUGGAGGAUGAAGGUCCUCUGGAUUGUAAACUUCUUUUAUCUGGGACGAAACACUUCUUUUCUAAGAGGCCUGACGGUACCAGAUGAAUAAGCACCGGCUAACUUCGUGCCAGCAGCCGCGGUAAUACGAAGGGUGCAAGCGUUACUCGGAAUUACUGGGCGUAAAGCGUGCGUAGGCGGUUCGUUAAGUCCGUUGUGAAAGCCCUGGGCUCAACCUGGGAAUUGCAGUGGAUACUGGCGAGCUAGAGUACGGUAGAGGAUGGUGGAAUUCCCGGUGUAGCGGUGAAAUGCGUAGAGAUCGGGAGGAACACCCGUGGCGAAGGCGGCCAUCUGGACCAGUACUGACGCUGAGGCACGAAAGCGUGGGGAGCAAACA